Molecule: long non-coding RNA, 268 nt
Organism: Hibiscus syriacus
Lineage: Eukaryota; Viridiplantae; Streptophyta; Magnoliopsida; Malvales; Malvaceae
Exons: 3
Source: RefSeq, a predicted model, not a curated record
AAGAUUUUGGAAGCUCAAGAUAAAGUUGCAGAACAAACACUGAUUUUGGUCCCCUACAACAUCCUUCCUCUUGAUCCUGAUAGUGCAAACCAGGCUAUUAUGCAAUAUCCUGAGAUCCAAGCAGCUGUUUAUGCUCUUCGUAACACAAGGGGUCUACCUUGGCCCAAUAAUCACAAGAGAAAGAAAGAUGAAGACGUUCUUGAUUGGCUUCAAGAAACGUUUGGGUUUCAGAAAGAUAAUGUAGCAAAUCAAAGGGAACAUCUGAUCU